UACCAGCUGGCUGCAACUGUUUAUUAAAAACACAGCACUGUGCAAACACGAAAGUGGACGUAUACGGUGUGACGCCUGCCCGGUGCCGGAAGGUUAAUUGAUGGGGUCAGCGCAAGCGAAGCUCCUGAUCGAAGCCCCGGUAAACGGCGGCCGUAACUAUAACGGUCCUAAGGUAGCGAAAUUCCUUGUCGGGUAAGUUCCGACCUGCACGAAUGGCGUAAUGAUGGCCAGGCUGUCUCCACCCGAGACUCAGUGAAAUUGAACUCGCUGUGAAGAUGCAGUGUACCCGCGGCAAGACGGAAAGACCCCGUGAACCUUUACUAUAGCUUGACACUGAACAUUGAGCCUUGAUGUGUAGGAUAGGUGGGAGGCUUUGAAGCGUGGACGCCAGUCUGCGUGGAGCCGACCUUGAAAUACCACCCUUUAAUGUUUGAUGUUCUAACGUGGACCCGUAAUCCGGGUUGCGGACAGUGUCUGGUGGGUAGUUUGACUGGGGCGGUCUCCUCCUAAAGAGUAACGGAGGAGCACGAAGGUUGGCUAAUCCUGGUCGGACAUCAGGAGGUUAGUGCAAUGGCAUAAGCCAGCUUGACUGCGAGCGUGACGGCGCGAGCAGGUGCGAAAGCAGGUCAUAGUGAUCCGGUGGUUCUGAAUGGAAGGGCCAUCGCUCAACGGAUAAAAGGUACUCCGGGGAUAACAGGCUGAUACCGCCCAAGAGUUCAUAUCGACGGCGGUGUUUGGCACCUCGAUGUCGGCUCAUCACAUCCUGGGGCUGAAGUAGGUCCCAAGGGUAUGGCUGUUCGCCAUUUAAAGUGGUACGCGAGCUGGGUUUAGAACGUCGUGAGACAGUUCGGUCCCUAUCUGCCGUGGGCGCUGGAAGACUGAGGGGGGCUGCUCCUAGUACGAGAGGACCGGAGUGGACGCAUCACUGGUGUUCGGGUUGUCAUGCCAAUGGCACUGCCCGGUAGCUAAAUGCGGAAAAGAUAAGUGCUGAAAGCAUCUAAGCACGAAACUUGCCCCGAGAUGAGUCUUCCCUGAGACCUUGAGUCUCCUGAAGGAACGUUAAAGACGAUGACGUUGAUAGGCCGGGUGUGUAAGCGCAGCGAUGCGUUGAGCUAACCGGUACUAAUGAACCGUGAGGCUUAACCUUACAA
This 1151-nucleotide ribosomal RNA is filed under the name Salmonella enterica subsp. diarizonae. RNAcentral describes it as "partial 23S ribosomal RNA". It matches the Rfam family "Bacterial large subunit ribosomal RNA", at positions 1783 to 2925 of the family's 2925-position model. The record is from RNAcentral. Lineage: Bacteria; Pseudomonadati; Pseudomonadota; Gammaproteobacteria; Enterobacterales; Enterobacteriaceae.